This 1150-nucleotide long non-coding RNA is filed under the name Vulpes vulpes (red fox). RNAcentral's name for it is "lncRNA (ENSVVUG00000013313.1)". The record is from RNAcentral. Lineage: Eukaryota; Metazoa; Chordata; Mammalia; Carnivora; Canidae.
GAUUUAGUGACUUUCAAGUCAAGCAAAUUAGUUGAUGAACAGGGAUCAUACGAGAAUAUCGUUCUUAAUAGAAAAGGCAGAGAUGAAUAAAAACCCUUAAGAUCAAAACACCGAAAGGAUUAAGCCAAUUGAGUUCCAAUCAGCAUACUUUUCAGUAGGCCAAAGAGGGUAUCUGCAGCAAUGCUCAAUGAGUUCUUUUCCAAAAUUGGUACCUAAGUGAUGAUGUGAUUGAUACUAUCAUAAUAUAGGGGGAAACACUGAUGGCCCUUCUCCCCCUCACUAUUUGCAGCACUUCCUUCGGGACAGUUGGUGGUCUUGUUAGAGACAGAAGAGCCCAGCCAGCAUAUCCAGGGCUAGGUAUUUCCGACCUAUAAUGGUGCAUCUGGGAGAGACUGGAGAUGAAUGGGCUGAGAGUUCUGACCGUCAAAUGAUGAAGCUCACGUGAGUGCCACUGUGAAUACAGUUAUUUCUGGGAGUAAACCUUCUUUUCCCCUUGUCUCCUUGGACUUUGGUAGAAUGUCUUCUCAUGAACGUCUCGGUGGGUUCUGUCCUUGCUUAACAAAUCCGGCUCCUAGGUCGUCUGUGUAGUACAUGCUCUCAGAAUCUCCAAUGUGCCAGACCCAGGCAGCUGUUCCUGUUUGAUUGUCGACUCAACUAUGAACUGUUCCUCCUGACAUUUGCUUGUGAAGAUAGCUUUGGCAGACUUGUGAAGAAGCAGACAAGGCGAUUUUGUGUCGGUGAAAAUGCAUCAACAUUUUAAUUGUUUUAGUUCCUUUUCUGUCCAGAGAGCUCUUGAAACUUUGCCCAUUCUGCCUGGAAAUCCUGGACAUUGAUUCUGCCUUGGGGGUUCGUGGUGCUCAGGUAGCCCCAGUGUCCUCCAAAAAAAGUCAUCUUGUUUCAUCUAUAAUAACAUCUCAAAAAAAAGUGAGUGAAACAAAAUAUAUAUUACCAGCUCUAUGUGACUUCUCUUAUCCUCACAUACUCUUAAUUAUAUUUCUGUUGAUGUGGAAAUAGCAAAUAGCCUGCUGGCCUUUUUAGCAUGUGCCUAGCACACCAGCAGAAGAACAUAUUGGAGAAAAAUUAUUAAUUGAAAUUUCAAAAUAUAUAAGUAGUCUUUAUGGGGGGCGGGAAUCUAUCCCUGGAUAAUUUU